Molecule: long non-coding RNA, 958 nt
Organism: Scatophagus argus
Lineage: Eukaryota; Metazoa; Chordata; Actinopteri; Scatophagidae
Exons: 2
Source: RefSeq, a predicted model, not a curated record
CCAAACACAUGACUGACUUCUGCUCAGCAAGUUGGAUUUUAAACACGAGUUCACUUCACACCUUCUUCACUGUCAGAGCAUUUAAAAGCCGACUUCUUGUAACUGUGAUACAGGAGAAGUUUGGUCAGCAGGGCCUCUCUCUCUCACCUCUAUCGUCUCUACAGGUUCAUGUGCUUCAGUGGUGGAGCUCAGAGUUUUCUUCUUCCUGGAUUGGAUGGAGUCCAACAAACACAACAAUUUGACAUAAUGAAAAUCACAAGACUAAAACCAAAGGAAGUCUGAAGAAGAAAACCAAAGAGAAAUGACUGAACUGAUGGACUCUGAUUGUUUUACCUCAUCCACAGACUCAGGAGAAGAAGAAGAAGGAUCAACAUGAAGACCACCAGAGUCGACCUGAUGAUGUUCGUUAUUACUGAUGAAGUUCCUGGAAAUACAGACAGACAUGUGAUGAAGCUCAGUAGUCGGACCUGACUGACGAAUCACUUUGCAGCUGAUACUGUGUGUUAAUCACUCAGUCAUCCACCUCUGACAUGAUGGAGGUUCCUCCAUGAGCACAGCUACAGGAAAACUGUCUACAAAUGCAGACAAGAAAUUUGACUUUCUUUGCGCCAGUUUUGAGUUGUUACACAUUAAUAUGUGACUGUGGUCAGGUGCAGUCAACAGGUGUGUGAGUGCAGGUGAAUGGAGAUAACUUACCUGCCACAACAGUCAGAUGUAAGGUGUUCCUAUGACUUCCUCUUAUGUUCUGGGCUUCACAGGAAUAAUUCCCACUGUGUUCAGCUCUGAAGUCAGUGAUGGUGAAGUUCUGUCCUGAUGCUUUUGCAGAGGGACUCACUGACACAGAGGGAAGCUUUGGACCAUCUGGAGGACAAGAUUUAACAAAGAUUAGCAGCAGAUUUUAAGAAUGUAUUCAUCCACACAAAGACCAUUUUCAAGUCAUUAAACCCUAAAAGAUUUA